AUCUGGGCGGCGGAAUUCAAGACGGCUGGCGGGUCUCGCGCUCGUUCGGCCGUUUGAUAUUUCCGUCGCCGUGUCAGACGUCGCGACCUGUUUGUCGUCGGUCCUUGCUCGGAGGAAUUGCGAUCGAGUUCGUUGCGGGCGCGUUUCGGCGUGCUUCGCGGCGAAGACGCGACUCUCUGGCCGACGACGGACAGUAAGCAACGGUGUCUGGCGCCGUGUCUCGCACUCGGCGUCGGUGCCGGUCAGCGACGAUUUCUUCGGACCUCUUUCCGACCCGUCUUGAAACACGGACCAAGGAGUCUAACAUGCGCGCGAGUCGCGGGGUUUCGAGCGUACCACGGUGCGCUCGUUACUUCCGAAACCCGUACGUUGAAGGCGUAAUGAAAGUGAACAGGGAAGAUGGCGUUCCGAGACCACGUACCGUGAUCGAGUAUCGCGGCCGGACGUCCGCACUCCCGGGGCGUCUCAAUGGUUCGCCACGGAUGCGGACGAUCGUCUUUCGGGGCGGUGGUCGGUCUGUGGCGGUCCGA
RNAcentral lists this ribosomal RNA (530 nucleotides) under Diaspididae sp. D1088B. RNAcentral describes it as "eukaryotic LSU rRNA". The record is from RNAcentral. Lineage: Eukaryota; Metazoa; Arthropoda; Insecta; Hemiptera; Diaspididae.